Molecule: non-coding RNA, 86 nt
Organism: Colletotrichum tofieldiae
Lineage: Eukaryota; Fungi; Ascomycota; Sordariomycetes; Glomerellales; Glomerellaceae
Source: the annotation of a GenBank genome assembly
GGCUAGCUCAAUCGGUAGAGCGUGAGACUCUUAAUCUCAAGGUUGUGGGUUCGACCCGUAAGCGCACCUCUUCCCAGUGUUCAUUG